Molecule: ribosomal RNA, 775 nt
Filed under: uncultured bacterium
Lineage: Bacteria
Description: bacterial SSU rRNA
Rfam family: Bacterial small subunit ribosomal RNA
Source: RNAcentral
GACGAACGCUGGCGGCAUGCCUAAUACAUGCAAGUCGAACGCUUCUACCUAUUGAGUGCUUGCACUCGACUGGUAGAAGAGUGGCGGACGGGUGAGUAACACGUGGGUAACCUGCCCAUAAGUGGGGGAUAACAUUCGGAAACGGAUGCUAAUACCGCAUAAUUCUGAUUGCCGCAUGGCAGACAGAUGAAAGGUGGCUUCGGCUACCGCUUAUGGAUGGACCCGCGGCGUAUUAGCUAGUUGGUGAGGUAAUGGCUCACCAAGGCAAUGAUACGUAGCCGACCUGAGAGGGUGAUCGGCCACACUGGGACUGAGACACGGCCCAGACUCCUACGGGAGGCAGCAGUAGGGAAUCUUCCGCAAUGGACGAAAGUCUGACGGAGCAAUGCCGCGUGAGUGAAGAAGGUUUUCGGAUCGUAAAACUCUGUUGUUAGAGAAGAACAAGGAUGAGAGUAACUGCUCAUCCCCUGACGGUAUCUAACCAGAAAGCCAUGGCUAACUACGUGCCAGCAGCCGCGGUAAUACGUAGAUGGCAAGCGUUGUCCGGAUUUAUUGGGCGUAAAGCGAGCGCAGGCGGUUCUUUAAGUCUGAUGUGAAAGACCCCAGCUCAACUGGGGAAGGUCAUUGGAAACUGAAGAACUUGAGUGCAGAAGAGGAGAGUGGAAUUCCAUGUGUAGCGGUGAAAUGCGUAGAUAUAUGGAGGAACACCAGUGGCGAAGGCGACUCUCUGGUCUGUAACUGUCGCUGAGGCUCGAAAGCGUGGGGAGCAAACAGG